RNAcentral lists this non-coding RNA (21 nucleotides) under Rattus norvegicus (Norway rat). The record is from RNAcentral. Lineage: Eukaryota; Metazoa; Chordata; Mammalia; Rodentia; Muridae.
UUAACAUGAUGGUGUCCAGUU